AGAGUUUGAUCAUGGCUCAGAAUCAACGCUGGCGGCGUGCCUAACACAUGCAAGUCGAGCGAGAAAGUGGUAGCAAUACCAUGAGUACAGCGGCGCACGGGUGAGUAACACGUGACUAACCUACCCUCGAGUGGGGAAUAACUUCGGGAAACCGAGGCUAAUACCGCAUAAUACCCACGGGUCAAAGAAGCAAUUCGCUUGAGGAGGGGGUCGCGGCCGAUUAGUUAGUUGGCGGGGUAAUGGCCCACCAAGACGAUGAUCGGUAUCCGGCCUGAGAGGGCGCACGGACACACUGGAACUGAAACACGGUCCAGACUCCUACGGGAGGCAGCAGUGGGGAAUUUUGCGCAAUGGGGGAAACCCUGACGCAGCAACGCCGCGUGGAGGAUGAAGUCCUUCGGGACGUAAACUCCUUUCGAUCGGGACGAUUAUGACGGUACCGGAAGAAGAAGCCCCGGCUAACUUCGUGCCAGCAGCCGCGGUAAUACGAGGGGGGCGAGCGUUGUUCGGAAUUAUUGGGCGUAAAGGGUGCGUAGGCGGUUUGGUAAGUCUCGUGUGAAAUCUCUGGGCUCAACUCAGAGUCUGCACGAGAAACUGCCGGGCUUGAGUGUGGGAGAGGUGAGUGGAAUUUCCGGUGUAGCGGUGAAAUGCGUAGAUAUCGGAAGGAACACCUGUGGCGAAAGCGGCUCACUGGACCACAACUGACGCUGAUGCACGAAAGCUAGGGGAGCAAACAGGAUUAGAUACCCUAGUAGUCC
RNAcentral lists this ribosomal RNA (758 nucleotides) under uncultured bacterium. Its description in RNAcentral is "bacterial SSU rRNA". It matches the Rfam family "Bacterial small subunit ribosomal RNA", at positions 8 to 796 of the family's 1533-position model. The record is from RNAcentral.